GUUACAAAGCAGCCUGUAUGGGCAUUGAAUAGAUUAGCAUGGGAUAAUAGAAUAGGAUUCUUGUCUAUUUAUUGGUUAUAGACUUAGAAUAAUGAUUAAUAGGGAUAGGUUGGGGGCACUUGUAUUCAAUAGUCAGAGGUGAAAUUCUAGGAUUUAUUGAAGACAAACUUCAGCGAAAGCAUUUGCCAAGGAUGUUUUCAUUAAUCAAGAACGAAAGUUAGGGGAUCGAAGACGAUUAGACACCGUCGUAGUCUUAACUAUAAACUAUGCCGACCAGGGAUAUGAGAGUUUUAUAUUUAUACUAUGAAUAAUAGUAUAAUCUCUUGUGGACCUUGUGAGAAAUCAUAAGUUUUUGGGUUCUGGGGGGGAGUAUGGUCGCAAGGCUGAAACUUAAAAGGAAUUGACGGAGGGGC
This 413-nucleotide ribosomal RNA is filed under the name uncultured eukaryote. RNAcentral's name for it is "bacterial SSU rRNA". It matches the Rfam family "Eukaryotic small subunit ribosomal RNA", at positions 773 to 1165 of the family's 1831-position model. The record is from RNAcentral.